Molecule: ribosomal RNA, 497 nt
Filed under: uncultured bacterium
Lineage: Bacteria
Description: partial 16S ribosomal RNA
Rfam family: Bacterial small subunit ribosomal RNA
Source: RNAcentral
GAUGAACGCUGGCGGCGUGCCUAAUACAUGCAAGUCGAGCGAACGGACGAGAAGCUUGCUUCUCUGAUGUUAGCGGCGGACGGGUGAGUAACACGUGGAUAACCUACCUAUAAGACUGGGAUAACUUCGGGAAACCGGAGCUAAUACCGGAUAAUAUUUUGAACCGCAUGGUUCAAAAGUGAAAGGCGGUCUUGCUGUCACUUAUAGAUGGAUCAGCGCUGCAUUAGCUAGUUGGUAAGGUAACGGCUUACCAAGGCAACGAUGCAUAGCCGACCUGAGAGGGUGAUCGGCCACACUGGAACUGAGACACGGUCCAGACUCCUACGGGAGGCAGCAGUAGGGAAUCUUCCGCAAUGGGCGAAAGCCUGACGGAGCAACGCCGCGUGAGUGAUGAAGGUCUUCGGAUCGUAAAACUCUGUUAUUAGGGAAGAACAUAUGUGUAAGUAACUGUGCACAUCUUGACGGUACCUAAUCAGAAAGCCACGGCUAACUACGUG